CUACGGGGUGCACCAGUGGGGAAUAUUGCACAAUGGGCGCAAGCCUGAUGCAGCCAUGCCGCGUGUAUGAAGAAGGCCUUCGGGUUGUAAAGUACUUUCAGCGGGGAGGAAGGGAGUAAAGUUAAUACCUUUGCUCAUUGACGUUACCCGCAGAAGAAGCACCGGCUAAGUCCGUGCCAGCAGCCGCGGUAAUACGGAGGGUGCAAGCGUUAAUCGGAAUUACUGGGCGUAAAGCGCACGCAGGCGGUUUGUUAAGUCAGAUGUGAAAUCCCCGGGCUCAACCUGGGAACUGCAUCUGAUACUGGCAAGCUUGAGUCUCGUAGAGGGGGGUAGAAUUCCAGGUGUAGCGGUGAAAUGCGUAGAGAUCUGGAGGAAUACCGGUGGCGAAGGCGGCCCCCUGGACGAAGACUGACGCUCAGGUGCGAAAGCGUGGGGAGCAAACAGGAUUAGAUACCCGUGUAGUC
This 464-nucleotide ribosomal RNA is filed under the name uncultured bacterium. RNAcentral's name for it is "partial 16S ribosomal RNA". It matches the Rfam family "Bacterial small subunit ribosomal RNA", at positions 339 to 795 of the family's 1533-position model. The record is from RNAcentral.